Molecule: ribosomal RNA, 944 nt
Filed under: uncultured Oomycota
Lineage: Eukaryota; Oomycota
Description: bacterial SSU rRNA
Rfam family: Eukaryotic small subunit ribosomal RNA
Source: RNAcentral
UGCUUGACGAUGUGUUUUAUAAAUACAUUGGCAUUUAUUAGAUUGAAACUAAUUUUAAAGUUGAGUCAUAAUAACUGUGCGGAUCGUUUUGUAAAAAGCGAUGAAUCAAUUGGGUUUCUGCCCUAUCAGUUUUGGAUGGCUGUGUAUUGGACAGCCAUGACAUUAACGGGUAACGGGGAAUUGGGGUUUGAUACCGGAGAGGGCGCCUUAGAAAUGGCGACCACAUCCAAGGAAGGCAGCAGGCGCGUAAAUUACCCAAUCCUAAUUCUAGGGAGGUAGUGACUAGAAAUAACGAUUCGAGAUGCUUUGCAUUUUGAAAUUGGAAUGAGAACAAUUUAAAUCCCUUAUCGAGGAUCAAUUGGAGGGCAAGUCUGGUGCCAGCAGCCGCGGUAAUUCCAGCUCCAAUAGCGUAUAUUAAAGUUGUUGCAGNNAAAAAGCUCGUAGUUGGAUUGGUGUUGGUUAUGUUUAUUUGNGAAAUUCUCAAAGAGACGUUAACCAAUAUAUUUGGGAUUUGGUCUAGAAUGGCAUUCAGUUGUUGAUUUAGUUCCAGCCCAUCGUUUACUGUGAAAAAAUUAGAGUGUUUAAAGCAGGUUUUGUAACCGUUGAAUACAUUAGCAUGGAAUAAUAAUAUAUGACUCGUAUGGUCUAUUUUGUUGGUUUGCACGUAUGAGUAAUGAUUAAUAGGGACACUUGGGGGUAUUCAUAUUUGAGCGUCAGAGGUGAAAUUUUUGGAUCGUUGAAAGAUGAGAUAAGGCGAAAGCAUUUACCAAGGAUGUUUUCAUUAAUCAAGAACGAAAGUUAGGGGAUCGAAGAUGAUUAGAUACCAUUGUAGUCUUAACCAUAAACUAUGCCGACUCGGGAUUGUGUUUAGGGAUUAAACCGAACGCAGCACCGUAUGAGAAAUCAAAGUCUUUGGGUUCCGGGGGGAGUAUAGUCACAAGGCU